AAAAAAAAAAAAAAAAAAAAAAGAAAGGAUCCACACUUAGUGAUACUUGUGGGCCAGGGCAUUAGCCACACCAGCCACCACUUUCUGAUAGGCAGCCUGCACUGGGCCUCACCACCAACUUCAUCCACGUUCACCUUGCCCCACAGGGCAGUAACGGCAGACUUCUCCUCAGGAGUCAGAUGCACCAUGGUGUCUGUUUGAGGUUGCUAGUGAACACUGUUAUGUCAGAAGAAAGUGUAAGCAACAGUCGACUCUGCCCUGCCUUUUAUGCUGGUCC
Molecule: long non-coding RNA, 277 nt
Filed under: Homo sapiens (human)
Lineage: Eukaryota; Metazoa; Chordata; Mammalia; Primates; Hominidae
Description: HSALNT0361106
Source: RNAcentral